UACGAAGGGGGCUAGCGUUGCUCGGAAUUACUGGGCGUAAAGCGUGCGCAGGCGGUUGUGUAAGUCUGUCGUGAAAUCCCCGGGCUCAACCUGGGAAUUGCGAUGGAGACUGCACGGCUAGAGUUUGGCAGAGGGGGGUGGAAUUCCACGUGUAGCAGUGAAAUGCGUAGAUAUCGUAAAGAACGUCAGUGGCGAAAGCGAGCUUCUAGAUAAUUACUGACGCUGGGGCACGAAAGCUAGGGGAGCAAACAGG
This 253-nucleotide ribosomal RNA is filed under the name uncultured bacterium. Its description in RNAcentral is "partial 16S ribosomal RNA". It matches the Rfam family "Bacterial small subunit ribosomal RNA", at positions 524 to 776 of the family's 1533-position model. The record is from RNAcentral.